UGUGGUGGCAGCAAUUCUGCUUUCGUUCUCCGAAGUUGUUGCCGUCGGUGCUAUUGCUGUUACUACUGCUGCUGCUGCUGCUGCUGCACCUUGCAUUGAUAUCUUGAAGCAGUCUUGCAAGAGGUACUCUAAGCAUCAACAGCUACAACAAGAAGAAAAAGAAGAAGAAAAAGGAGUAG
Polistes dominula (European paper wasp) is the source of this 179-nucleotide long non-coding RNA. NCBI's taxonomy places the organism in Eukaryota, Metazoa, Arthropoda, Insecta, Hymenoptera, Vespidae. The record is from RefSeq and is a predicted model, not a curated record.